UAAUGUGCAAUUAUUUUAUUAUUUAUUCAUGUUUUUAUAGCAGUUAUUUUUUUUAUUGUUUACCAAAUAGUAUCACAUGUGAGAGUUAUUUCUUUUUGGCUUGUUUGUAAUUAUUGCUUAAAUGGACAGCUCUGUAUAAUUUGUGACUUUGUUUUUGUGCAUGCAUUUAUCAUUUAUUUUAUAACAAGCCUAAAGUUGAAGAAAGGCUGAGCGAAAUUCACUGGUGUCAUGAAGUGUCACUAGUAAACAAACUUACCAAGACAAAAAAACUAACUCAGUCAAAUUAUUUACUUAUCUGAUAUGUAGGGAGAGUUCUAAAAAUUAAGCUAGUGAAAAUAUAAUCUUCGAGUACCCUGAUAGGUGUAAGUUAUUUACUUCUGAAAUCACUCUCGUAUUGGAGUUUGAAAAGUUUCUUUUUUAGAGCCAAUGGAAGUUUCUGUUUUCUCAAAAAGAAAAAGAGAGAGAGGAAAAGAAACUUUUCCAAAUAUUUGUCCAGGAGGCCUUCAACAAAUCAGAUCCAGGAUCAGAGGAAAAACUAUGCCGAGAUGUGUAUCCUCCACCCCGUUGCAGCAUGCGUGUGCAUGUGUGUGCGUGUGACUUAUUAGUGGAUGGGAAUGUAAACAUUCAGUGGGAAACGUGUGGAUGUGAGAGCUGCCGCCCCCUGGCCUACUUCUGCAGAGAACACUAUGUUCUUAAAACACUGAUCUCAUGCAGGGAGGGCAGUCAUACACACACCAACUCACGCACACACUCACACACACUCACCCCCACACACACACACACACACACACACACACACACACGCACACGCACACACAAGUGUGCGUGUGCGUGCGAAGAGACAUGCAGGUCACAUGUCUCUUCGUGCUGUUAGGACGGUUUGUUUUCUGAGGAUCACUCAGAGCAGAAGGGCUCUGAAAAGAGGAUGCUCCCUUUAAGAAAACAAACGCCGGACAGUGAGUGAGCAUGAGCGUGCACAAACAGCCGAGGCACAUGAGCGUGCAUGCAUCCAACCAAUUGUUGUGUGCAUGCGCCUUCUUGCCAGUGGGGGCGCUCUCGAGUUGCUGUGGAUCUAACAGGGAGAACAGCUUUUCUGGCUCUGGGCAUGCGCGGCUCAGAAUAAACAAACAAGCUCUUGCCAGAGUAACAUCGUAGCAAUUUGUUUCCUCUGUGAUCCACAGGUAGGAUAAAAGGCAACUUUUAUAAACCCAUAGAGUCGGCUUCUUUCAAAUGUUUGGCAAAUAUGCAAAGAUUAGUUUUGUGGUGUUUUGUGUAACUUGUGUGUGUAAUUUGGAUAGUUUUGUACUGAGCUUUGGUCUGUGUCUGAUGACUUGUUUUUUGUUGUUGGAGCCUUUGGGAUUUAUUUAAAUUGAAUAAUACGUCAAUGUUGUGUUUGUUUUUGGACCCUGUUACCAUAUUAGUAUUUGUAGUAUUUUUAUUUCUUAUACUGCCAAAUGUCCGUAUUUACUGUGUGUUGUAGAUGGAAUUUUUUGUUCAGUUUGGUUAUGUUAAUUUAGAAUUAGAUUUUAUUCAUUUUUUGAUAUUACGUUAUUUUAUUUGUGCAUUUUGUUUUCUUUAGUUUCUUUGCGUAAACUCCGGAUGUUGUUGAUUGAAUUUGAAUUGUAUUGUAAUUGUAUUUUAUUCAUUUAUUUAUUUAUUUGUUUUUCUUUAAUUGAAAAUGUGUGUCAGAAUAAACAAGCUCUUGCCAGAGUAACAUUGUAGCAAAUUGUUUCCUCUAUGAUCCACAGAUCUUGGUUGCACAGGAUUUCUCUGCCUGUGCGCCACAUGAUACUGACUCAGAUUUCCCUGUAAUCUGGUGCCGGAAGUCCACCUGAAAUCUGUCUGCACUGAAAAGUGUAACGAUGUCUGGUAACGUUACAGGAUGUUCUAUCUGUUGGUGAAUACAGCCUGCUCAGAGGAAUGCUGGGUCACAUGAGUGGGCCGGACUGACCUACUUUCAUCCAAUCAGAGGCCGCCGUCUGCUGUUCUCCUCCCCGUCUCCUCCAUGCAGCCCAGUCACAUUGAAUCUCAUGUGCUCCGGAGCAGGAGCAAAACAAAUCCAGCAGCAGGGAGGAGGAGAGAGGUGAAGAGCAGGCAACAGAGAGUUGGGGAUGGGGAGGAGAGAAGGAAGGGUAAGUAAAAAUGAGCAGAAAGAUAAAAAUAUAGAAAAAGGAAAAUAAAAAAAUGAAAGAAAAAAUGACAAAAGGACUUGAUAGAGGAUGCUAAUUUGAAAAAGCGAAUGCAAAGAAGAUGGGGAAAUGAUGGGGAAGGAAGGGGAGGAAAAUGAAUGAAGGGUUGGUGGAAAAAAGAAAGGAAAAUGUGAGAAACCAUAGGAUGUGAUGAGAAAGGAAAAAGUAAAAAGUAAAAAAUAAAGUGAAAAUGUAAAAGAAUAAAGAUGAGAAGAAGAGAGCACAUCAGAGAUUUGCCCAUCAUAAUGCUGGAGCUCUUUUAUUUAUGUGAUAAAUUUGGCUCUAUUCCUCUUUCUCUCCUUCCUUCAUUCCUCUGAUUGUUUCUCGUCCCUCUUCGCUUUUUUCUUCUGCAACCCAGUUCAAAUCGGUCGACGAUCCCAGCUACUGUCACCUCAUCACGCCCUCUGCAGAGUCCAGUGAUCGUUUUCUAACUUCUGUUACCUCCAGCUGUGAGAAAAAAAA
Molecule: non-coding RNA, 2651 nt
Organism: Poecilia reticulata (guppy)
Lineage: Eukaryota; Metazoa; Chordata; Actinopteri; Cyprinodontiformes; Poeciliidae
Source: RefSeq, a predicted model, not a curated record